GGGGGCGACCGGUUUCGACUGGGAGAUUCUCUGGGCUAAGUGGCGUGCCGAGGUUGCGUGGAUGGCCUCGUUAAUCCCCACGCAAGGCAUUAACUGCCAACAAUAAUUACUCCCUCGCAGCUUAGUCUGUGACGCUUCGAGAGUCUUCGCCCGCUGGGCUCUCUUGGCGUACGAUCGCGGGCUAGCAAAGCAAUCCUGGCUCGGGAGCGCCGCGCAAAAUUCAAUGAGCUGGUUGUCGCCCCCGCUGGCCUGAGUGCUAAGGCGUCAAUGAGAUUCGAACACAGGCUACGCACGUAGAAGCUUCUUUCAAGACUUCACAGGACGCGGGUUCAAUUCCCGCCGCCUCCACCA
Molecule: transfer-messenger RNA, 351 nt
Filed under: Planctomycetota
Lineage: Bacteria; Pseudomonadati
Also listed under: 2 other names
Description: JABHIE01 sp018671175 Standard tmRNA
Rfam family: transfer-messenger RNA
About the family: Bacterial tmRNA, also known as 10Sa RNA or SsrA, is named for its dual tRNA and mRNA-like properties. Its role is to liberate the mRNA from a stalled ribosome. To accomplish this part of the tmRNA is used as a reading frame that ends in a translation stop signal.
Source: RNAcentral